RNAcentral lists this ribosomal RNA (378 nucleotides) under uncultured bacterium. Its description in RNAcentral is "partial 16S ribosomal RNA". It matches the Rfam family "Bacterial small subunit ribosomal RNA", at positions 338 to 708 of the family's 1533-position model. The record is from RNAcentral.
CCUACGUGUGGCAGCAGUGGGGAAUUUUGCACAAUGGGCGAAAGCCUGACGCAGCUACUCCGCGUGUGGGAUGAAGGCCUUCGGAUUGUAAACCCCUUUUGUAAAGGACGAACAGUCACUUUUCUAAUCAGCGUGUAGCUGACGGUACCCUAAGAGUAAGCACCGGCUAACUCCGUGCCAGCAGCCUCGGUAAUACGUAGGGUGCGAGCGUUAAUCGGAAUUACUGGGCGUAAAGGGCGCGUAGGCGGUUUAGUAAGACAGAUGUGAAAUCCCCGAGCUUAACUUGGGAACUGCAUAUGAGACUGGGAGACUAGAGUGUGUGAGAGGGAGGUGGAAUUCGAGGUGUAGGAGUGAAAUGCGUAGAUAUGUGGAGGAACA